AAGGCGUUUCCUCUGCCAUUUCUCGCAUAAUUCAUUUAACAGACAUAAAACAAUCCCACCAUGUCGAAUGAAUAAAUGAUCUGUCAGUAUUCCUAAAAUUGUAUCGAAAUGUCUUGUUUCCAUCACAGCUGUCCUGAUUAUUUUUUAUUCGCUGUGACUUUACUCGCAUAAAAACUGUGGUUGGAAACGUGGUUAGUGUCAUGGCACGCUUUGUGUAAAGCUGUUGAAGAUUGAAAUGCCAUUUUUUUUAUGUUAGAGAAAAAUACACAGCUUUUUUUAUUAUCUUCCCCUGAUUCAGAAUAUAUAAUUUUCAUAGUCAUGGCAUGCUUUGUGUAAGAGCUAUAGACGAGAGAACCGAAUAUCCACUGAAUAUCCAGUAUAAAACAUAUUUUACCUCUGUAUGAGCCCUUGAUUUGAGCCCAGCAGAGGAUCACGACAUUGAGACUAUCGACGUCCACGCUUCAGAGACGUGUGGCCAAGCUCAUCACACAGAAGAGCAGCUGUAUGAGGACCUGGGGUCUUCUCCUCCAAAGACCUGGUACCGCGAUGGGAGAUGAUGAGGUGCCUGAACUGUGAGAAGGACUGCAUGAUGGCCAUGGUCCCUUUCUGCCUGUACAACACCUUUGCAGUGCUACUGUAUGGGCAACUCACCUCCUCUCUCGCCUUGGCCAACCUUUAUUAGCUCUGUGCCCAUUAAACCUGACCUGAGCGCUCAUUCUGCAUGGAGACACUUAAUUGCAUGGUACCGUGGGUGCCAGUCCUCCAUGGGGUAACUAAUAAGCGCUGGUUCCUGAGGAGACUAUGCAUGAACUGUAUAUGAACUGUAAAACUUUCCCUCUUUUUCACUCCUCUCAGUUCCGCUCAUUAUUUUAAUCACCUCAGAAACGAUGCUCUCUGAAUUAAACCCACGUCUGAAAAUGUGUGUGUCUUGUGUAACUUAACAAAUAAGAAUGAAAUAUGAAAUCGUUCCUUCUUUAUAAAUUAUUCCAUUAAGUGUAAUGUUAAAUGGUUUACAAAUAAUCAGUAAUGACUUAAUUUCAUGAAAUGUAUGAAUCUGGAUGUGCAAUCAAACUGGGGAAUUCUUUUUUUUUUUAAAUGUAUGGUUUUAAAAGAAUAACAAGACUAAAGAUGUAUUUCCAGUGUAAUUGUUUUUUGUACUUGUGUUUAUUGUUUAAAGUUAGACAUCCAAGGUAAAAAUGCUGUGCCUCAUGACAUAUAUUUAGCAGAUGGCCAUGUUACUUGAAAAGAUAAGGUGUUUCAUAUUGCUUUAGAUUCUGAGUAGGUGUUCUCAGAGCGUUAACCAUUUAGUGGUCACCCGCUCCCCUGCAUACGGCAUGUCUAUAAAGCUGUGAUUAUCCCGAAAAGGCAAUAGUUUGCUGGGGACGUAGGAGACCUCUGUUGAACACUUAGUGGUGAGUCUGUGUGUGGUAGUCGUCUCUCAAGGGGACAAUAUGUCAGCCCACAAGAGGAGGUGUUUAUUUUGUCAUGUUUCUUCUGUGGAUUUCUCAGCACAUUCAGGUCAGACCCCAGACACGCCGGACUCACAGAUAUUCCAUGAGACAAUACUGGGUCAUUUAAUUAUGGUAGCAUCCAUCUGAAAUAUGUUUUUGUUUAUUGUGAUGAUUUCCCUCGGUGUUUCCUUUCAAAUCCAGGACAAUGUGUACAAUUAUUGGUUUGUUUU
This is a long non-coding RNA of Oncorhynchus mykiss (rainbow trout), 1681 nucleotides long. RefSeq lists it as uncharacterized. NCBI's taxonomy places the organism in Eukaryota, Metazoa, Chordata, Actinopteri, Salmoniformes, Salmonidae. The record is from RefSeq and is a predicted model, not a curated record.